Molecule: ribosomal RNA, 1070 nt
Filed under: Stigonema hormoides Q5-51
Lineage: Bacteria; Bacillati; Cyanobacteriota; Cyanophyceae; Nostocales; Stigonemataceae
Description: bacterial SSU rRNA
Rfam family: Bacterial small subunit ribosomal RNA
Source: RNAcentral
CGGACGGGUGAGUAACGCGUGAGAAUCUGCCUUCAGGUCGGGGACAACCACUGGAAACGGUGGCUAAUACCGGAUAAGCCGAAAGGUGAAAGAUAAAUUGCCUGAAGAGGAGCUCGCGUCUGAUUAGCUAGUUGGUGGGGUAAGAGCUUACCAAGGCGACGAUCAGUAGCUGGUCUGAGAGGACGAUCAGCCACACUGGAACUGAGAAACGGUCCAGACUCCUACGGGAGGCAGCAGUGGGGAAUUUUCCGCAAUGGGCGAAAGCCUGACGGAGCAAUACCGCGUGAGGGAGGAAGGCUCUUGGGUUGUAAACCUCUUUUCUCAGGGAAGAAGUACUGACGGUACCUGAGGAAUAAGCAUCGGCUAACUCCGUGCCAGCAGCCGCGGUAAUACGGAGGAUGCAAGCGUUAUCCGGAAUGAUUGGGCGUAAAGCGUCCGCAGGUGGCAUUGAAAGUCUGCUGUCAAAGAGUCUGGCUCAACCAGAUAAAGGCAGUGGAAACUACAAAGCUAGAGUACGUUCGGGGCAGAGGGAAUUCCUGGUGUAGCGGUGAAAUGCGUAGAGAUCAGGAAGAACACCGGUGGCGAAAGCGCUCUGCUAGGCCGUAACUGACACUGAGGGACGAAAGCUAGGGGAGCGAAUGGGAUUAGAUACCCCAGUAGUCCUAGCCGUAAACGAUGGAUACUAGGUGUUGCUUGUAUCGACCCGAGCAGUACCGUAGCUAACGCGUUAAGUAUCCCGCCUGGGGAGUACGCAGGCAACUGUGAAACUCAAAGGAAUUGACGGGGGCCCGCACAAGCGGUGGAGUAUGUGGUUUAAUUCGAUGCAACGCGAAGAACCUUACCAGGGCUUGACAUGUCGCGAAUCAGGGGGAAACCUCUGAGUGCCUUCGGGAGCGCGAACACAGGUGGUGCAUGGCUGUCGUCAGCUCGUGUCGUGAGAUGUUGGGUUAAGUCCCGCAACGAGCGCAACCCUCGUUUUUAGUUGCCAUCAUUAAGUUGGGCACUCUAGAGAGACUGCCGGUGACAAACCGGAGGAAGGUGGGGAUGACGUCAAGUCAGCAUGCCCCUUA